CAACAUCAAGCAACAACAAAAUAUUACACCUGAUACGACAUCAAGCUAUACAGGAACUAUUAGACCACCCAAAUUAUUGAAGCUUCAGAAUUUGUGUCUGGGUCCAUGCCUAAUAAACUGGAAGAAAACCAAAAGAUACUUAUUGAUAUGAAUCAACUUGGUUAAGUAUGGUCAAAUACAAUGCACGGUGGAAUAUCUACCCUGGAAAACAAAAGAAAAGGAGAUGGAAGAAAUCAUGUACUCAAUGGGUGGUUGUAAGUUCACGGGUAUCAAGACUUGGCUCACAUAUCAUUGAUCAUGGGUCUGUGUCAAUAUGGCUCCGGUGCCCAGUUUAUCACGGUGUUUUGUUAUUAUUUCCGAGAUAGUACUUUCUAUUAUAGUGUUGAGAUAAGCAAUUUAGAUGUUUUAAAUAUUCCCAGCUCUUUGGAUAAGAAGUAUUUCAGUAACUGAAUAAUCUUUGACCGUCCAAAAGAACUACGAUGUUUCUUUGGGAAUAACAGCAGAACAAAAAAUCCGAGAAUCAUGGCUGACCUAUGAGGCACAGAUGUUGUCGAGGACCUAGCUGGCAAACCAGUGCCAGAAGACGACCUUGAACCAUGCCUCCUCUCCUUUGCGCAACCUUGAAACCACGAGUAAUUACCUGGCAUUAUUUCAUUAUCUCAGCUGGUUUUAUGACUUCAAACAUAUGAGAGUACUCUAACAUGUAAAAUAAUUCUUUCUCAGGUUCCAAAUAAGUCAACAGUAGGUCAAAAAUAGAGGUGAAACAUUGCCAGGCAGGCAGACACACAACAACAGCCGAUGAUUAUAGCUUAAGGUCCAAUGAGGAUAAUAUAAGUAGUGGAAAACGGAAUUUUGUAUCCACAUCCCUAUUGAUCAAGGAGUAAGUCAACAUGAUACAAGAAACGUACAACAACACCCGAGACAAUAUAAUUACAACACUGCAGAAAAAUUAGAGAUCCAUGUAAUCAAAUAUCUCUUUGUUAAAUUUUAGCUGAACAACUUAACUUAUAGAGUGUCGAUGGUUCAGAUCUUUUUCCUUUUAAUUAACAUGUGAGUUAUUAUGAAGUGGGUAAUUUCUUUUUGCGGUAUAUAAAGUGGGUAAUUCAUAUAGACUAAGACAUGGAAAAAGGGUGUAGGUGGUGCAAAUUCAUAGCAAGUUUUAUAUUGGAUGCACACAAACAACUGUGUGGACACACAAAAAGAAAACAAUCACUUUGAAAGUUUGAAUAGAAAUGUCUAAAUGAACAUCAGAUGGUCUAGUGUCUCCACUGAAAGCACUACAUUGACCCCUCAUUAACAAUUUAGCAAUGAACAAACAAUUCUAGUAUUUAGACAUGAGAAUACCUUGUACAGAAUUUCAAAGCCAUAAAAAACGUUACCACUGGUUUGGGUAUCCUGGAAAUAAAACAGAGGUAAUAAAUUCCUUAUAACUAAUCAGGUGAACAUAGAAAAUUGAUUACCUCUGGUUUGAUCCCAUGUGCUCUAGCCAAAAAUAGAUCAAAUCGGCAGGAUAUCCUAUAAGGAAACAAAUCUAGCAAGGAAACUGAUUAUUAUUAUAUCUAAUUUCCAGCUACCAGUGGUAGGCGCAAAGUGGAACACUAUUACGUAGGACAACAAAUUUGGGCAGGAGGAAGUAUAAUGGUUAUGAAUGCCAGGCAAAGUGUAUUAAGUUCAUAACUAUGAGCAUGCAAAUAAUUUAUAUGAAGGGUCCCUUUUCUUCUGCAUAAGUCAGACAUACUGUAUGUAUGUGUAAUGUGUCCAACUGUACACAAAUACAAAAUAUAUAUUACAACAGAAAAUGCGUGAAUAUGAUGAUGAAUAUCUUAUUCUGAACUCUUUUGCAUCUUGUAUAAUGGACAGGGAUUGAGAUUCUAAUUUCGGCACUACUGGAGAGUAUGUUGUGUGCAAAACGAAACUACAUGCAGUAAUCUACAUGAUUGUUCGUACGAACAGAGAAACAAUUUUGCAUUUAGUAGAUGUGUGUAUGUUUCAGGGUUACUUUCACAAUAUUUAGUUGGUAUAGAAAAAACACUUAAGGCUAGCAAAUAGAAUUAACCUAGUACAUAGAAAGUAGAGAACUGACCGCUGCAGUAAAUUAUGAACUGAUAUCACACAUAAAAUAGUAACAUACCCCAAAAUCUAUUCCUCGCAGCUCCCCACAAGUCUUCCUUCGCCCUCUUCUGCUCCACCAACCCCUGUUAUGAUUUCUCUCCCCUUAAAUCACUCUUAUUACUCCCCAUACCAUCUCUG
Molecule: long non-coding RNA, 2250 nt
Filed under: Triticum aestivum (bread wheat)
Lineage: Eukaryota; Viridiplantae; Streptophyta; Magnoliopsida; Poales; Poaceae
Description: long non-coding RNA (TAES_LNC006283)
Source: RNAcentral